UACGGAGGGUGCAAGCGUUAUCCGGAUUCACUGGGUUUAAAGGGUGCGUAGGCGGCUUUAUAAGUCAUUGGUGAAAGCUCGCAGCUUAACUGUGAAACUGCCAUUGAAACUGUUUAGCUUGAAUGUGGUUGAAGUGGGCGGAAUACAACAUGUAGCGGUGAAAUGCUUAGAUAUGUUUUAGAACACCGAUUGCGAAGGCAGCUCACUAAGCCAAUAUUGACGCUGAGGCACGAAAGCGUGGGUAGCAAACAG
RNAcentral lists this ribosomal RNA (252 nucleotides) under uncultured bacterium. RNAcentral describes it as "partial 16S ribosomal RNA". It matches the Rfam family "Bacterial small subunit ribosomal RNA", at positions 524 to 775 of the family's 1533-position model. The record is from RNAcentral.